UACGAAGGGGGCUAGCGUUGUUCGGAAUCACUGGGCGUAAAGGGCGCGUAGGCGGCUAGAUAAGUCGGGGGUGAAAGCCUGUGGCUCAACCACAGAAUUGCCUUCGAUACUGUAUGGCUUGAGACCGGAAGAGGUUAGUGGAACUGCGAGUGUAGAGGUGAAAUUCGUAGAUAUUCGCAAGAACACCAGUGGCGAAGGCGGCUGACUGGUCCGGAUCUGACGCUGGGGCGCGAAAGCGUGGGGAGCAAACAGG
Molecule: ribosomal RNA, 253 nt
Filed under: uncultured bacterium
Lineage: Bacteria
Description: partial 16S ribosomal RNA
Rfam family: Bacterial small subunit ribosomal RNA
Source: RNAcentral